AAAUUGAAGAGUUUGAUCAUGGCUCAGAUUGAACGCUGGCGGCAGGCCUAACACAUGCAAGUCGAACGGUAACAGGAAGCAGCUUGGCUGCUUUGCUGACGAGUGGCGGACGGGUGAGUAAUGUCUGGGAAACUGCCUGAUGGAGGGGGAUAACUACUGGAAACGGUGGCUAAUACCGCAUAACGUCGCAAGACCAAAGAGGGGGACCUUCGGGCCUCUUGCCAUCAGAUGUGCCCAGAUGGGAUUAGCUUGUUGGUGAGGUAACGGCUCACCAAGGCGACGAUCCCUAGCUGGUCUGAGAGGAUGACCAGCCACACUGGAACUGAGACACGGUCCAGACUCCUACGGGAGGCAGCAGUGGGGAAUAUUGCACAAUGGGCGCAAGCCUGAUGCAGCCAUGCCGCGUGUAUGAAGAAGGCCUUCGGGUUGUAAAGUACUUUCAGCGGGGAGGAAGGUGUUGUGGUUAAUAACCGCAGCAAUUGACGUUACCCGCAGAAGAAGCACCGGCUAACUCCGUGCCAGCAGCCGCGGUAAUACGGAGGGUGCAAGCGUUAAUCGGAAUUACUGGGCGUAAAGCGCACGCAGGCGGUCUGUCAAGUCGGAUGUGAAAUCCCCGGGCUCAACCUGGGAACUGCAUUCGAAACUGGCAGGCUUGAGUCUUGUAGAGGGGGGUAGAAUUCCAGGUGUAGCGGUGAAAUGCGUAGAGAUCUGGAGGAAUACCGGUGGCGAAGGCGGCCCCCUGGACAAAGACUGACGCUCAGGUGCGAAAGCGUGGGGAGCAAACAGGAUUAGAUACCCUGGUAGUCCACGCCGUAAACGAUGUCUACUUGGAGGUUGUGCCCUUGAGGCGUGGCUUCCGGAGCUAACGCGUUAAGUAGACCGCCUGGGGAGUACGGCCGCAAGGUUAAAACUCAAAUGAAUUGACGGGGGCCCGCACAAGCGGUGGAGCAUGUGGUUUAAUUCGAUGCAACGCGAAGAACCUUACCUGGUCUUGACAUCCACAGAACUUUCCAGAGAUGGAUUGGUGCCUUCGGGAACUGUGAGACAGGUGCUGCAUGGCUGUCGUCAGCUCGUGUUGUGAAAUGUUGGGUUAAGUCCCGCAACGAGCGCAACCCUUAUCCUUUGUUGCCAGCGGUCCGGCCGGGAACUCAAAGGAGACUGCCAGUGAUAAACUGGAGGAAGGUGGGGAUGACGUCAAGUCAUCAUGGCCCUUACGACCAGGGCUACACACGUGCUACAAUGGCGCAUACAAAGAGAAGCGACCUCGCGAGAGCAAGCGGACCUCAUAAAGUGCGUCGUAGUCCGGAUUGGAGUCUGCAACUCGACUCCAUGAAGUCGGAAUCGCUAGUAAUCGUGGAUCAGAAUGCCACGGUGAAUACGUUCCCGGGCCUUGUACACACCGCCCGUCACACCAUGGGAGUGGGUUGCAAAAGAAGUAGGUAGCUUAACCUUCGGGAGGGCGCUUACCACUUUGUGAUUCAUGACUGGGGUGAAGUCGUAACAAGGUAACCGUAGGGGAACCUGCGGUUGGAUCACCUCCUUA
Molecule: ribosomal RNA, 1543 nt
Filed under: Salmonella enterica
Lineage: Bacteria; Pseudomonadati; Pseudomonadota; Gammaproteobacteria; Enterobacterales; Enterobacteriaceae
Also listed under: 1 other name
Description: bacterial SSU rRNA
Rfam family: Bacterial small subunit ribosomal RNA
Source: RNAcentral